RNAcentral lists this unclassified non-coding RNA (224 nucleotides) under Phylloporus sp. RNAcentral describes it as "partial contains small subunit ribosomal RNA, internal transcribed spacer 1, and 5.8S ribosomal RNA". The stretch from base 1 to 46 matches the Rfam family "Eukaryotic small subunit ribosomal RNA", at positions 1786 to 1831 of the family's 1831-position model. The record is from RNAcentral. Lineage: Eukaryota; Fungi; Basidiomycota; Agaricomycetes; Boletales; Boletaceae.
AAGUCGUAACAAGGUUUCCGUAGGUGAACCUGCGGAAGGAUCAUUACAAAAUCUGUGAGGGUGGUUGGAGGGGGUUUGGUAGUGGAUUGUUGGUUAGCUUUUGUUGAUCUCUAUCUACUUGCCAACCCACCUAUUCCCCACUUAACAUUUGCGCUUGUAUUGUUUGACAGAGUAAAUUACACACUAAACCUAAACAACUUUUAACAAUGGAUCUCUGGGCUCUU